RNAcentral lists this transfer RNA (73 nucleotides) under Daphnia galeata. It matches the Rfam family "tRNA". From Rfam's summary of the family: Transfer RNA (tRNA) molecules are approximately 80 nucleotides in length. The record is from Rfam by way of RNAcentral. Lineage: Eukaryota; Metazoa; Arthropoda; Branchiopoda; Diplostraca; Daphniidae.
GGUCCCAUGGCUUAGGUGGCAAAGCGCCUGCCUAGUAAGCAGGAGAUCAUGAGUUCCAUUCUAAUUGGGACCU